This 628-nucleotide unclassified non-coding RNA is filed under the name Centruroides sculpturatus (bark scorpion). RNAcentral describes it as "uncharacterized LOC111633129, transcript variant X2". Lineage: Eukaryota; Metazoa; Arthropoda; Arachnida; Scorpiones; Buthidae. The record is from RNAcentral.
UAUGAAAUAAAACAAUGUAAACAAUACUUUCAGUGAAAACAGUACGAACUGCUUUACAACGUUGCAGUAAAAAUAUAAUUUGUUAUUCAUGUUAUUUUCAAAAUUACAAACACUAAUCUUCAUAUUUCUAUUAACAACUGUGAACAUCAGAGAAAAAGACCAAACAUGGGAACAAAAAGAAAUUCUUCCUAUGGGAUUCGGUUUCUUUAAAGAAAAGCAACAUUCAAAAAUAGUAAACGAGAAAUAUAAAUGUGUAUCUUUUCUUAGAAAACUGUUGGACUUUGUCCAAUAUUUGGAGCAUUCCUUCAUAAAUACUUUAAAAUGAAACGAAAGGAAUUAUAUUCGUGUGAAAUACGGCCGAGUGAAAAGAAACAAAAUAUUCCAAAUAUUUCUUAUGGUUAUUCUAAAAAAGGAGAAAUAAUUAUUCGAAUCCCCUGUAAAGAAGAUGCGAAAAUAACUGUUAGUGUUAAACAAUAGAAACACGUUCACUCUUAAAACGCGAUAGAAAUUAAUCGGAAUGUUUGUUUAGAGACUCGUGUAAAUGGUUGAAUUGACACGAAAAAUCUAUUCAUAUUCAUCAGUCAUUAAGAAGAAUUUUUGAUUUAAGUAAAAUGUGUAAAAUUUUCAU